GAUGAACGCUGGCGGCGUGCCUAAUACAUGCAAGUCGAGCGAACAGACGAGGAGCUUGCUCCUCUGACGUUAGCGGCGGACGGGUGAGUAACACGUGGAUAACCUACCUAUAAGACUGGGAUAACUUCGGGAAACCGGAGCUAAGACCGGAUAACAUGUUGAACCGCAUGGUUCAACAGUGAAAGACGGUCUUGCUGUCACUUAUAGAUGGAUCCGCGCCGCAUUAGCUAGUUGGUAAGGUAACGGCUUACCAAGGCAACGAUGCGUAGCCGACCUGAGAGGGAGAUCGGCCACACUGGAACUGAGAAACGUUCCAGACUCCUACGCGAGGCAGCAGUAGGGACUCUUCCGCAAUGCGCGAAUGCCUGACGUAGCAACGCCGCGUGAGUGCAGAAGGUCUUCGGAUCGUAAAACUCUGUUAUUAGGGAAGAACAAAUGUGUAAGUAACUAUGCACGUCUUGACGGUACCUAAUCAGAAAGCCACGGCUAACUACGUG
This 497-nucleotide ribosomal RNA is filed under the name uncultured bacterium. RNAcentral's name for it is "partial 16S ribosomal RNA". It matches the Rfam family "Bacterial small subunit ribosomal RNA", at positions 28 to 507 of the family's 1533-position model. The record is from RNAcentral.